Molecule: ribosomal RNA, 482 nt
Filed under: uncultured bacterium
Lineage: Bacteria
Description: partial 16S ribosomal RNA
Rfam family: Bacterial small subunit ribosomal RNA
Source: RNAcentral
UUGAACGCUGGCGGCAGGCCUAACACAUGCAAGUCGAGCGGAUGAAGGGAGCUUGCUCCUGGAUUCAGCGGCGGACGGGUGAGUAAUGCCUAGGAAUCUGCCUGGUAGUGGGGGAUAACGUCCGGAAACGGGCGCUAAUACCGCAUACGUCCUGAGGGAGAAAGUGGGGGAUCUUCGGACCUCACGCUAUCAGAUGAGCCUAGGUCGGAUUAGCUAGUUGGUGGGGUAAAGGCCUACCAAGGCGACGAUCCGUAACUGGUCUAAGAGGAUGAUCAGUCACACUGGAACUGAGACACGGUCCAGACUCCUACGGGAGGCAGCAGUGGGGAAUAUUGGACAAUGGGCGAAAGCCUGAUCCAGCCAUGCCGCGUGUGUGAAGAAGGUCUUCGGAUUGUAAAGCACUUUAAGUUGGGAGGAAGGGCAGUAAGUUAAUACCUUGCUGUUUUGACGUUACCAACAGAAUAAGCACCGGCUAACUUCGU